AGAGUUUGAUCAUGGCUCAGAACGAACGCUGGCGGCAGGCCUAACACAUGCAAGUCGAACGAGAAGCCACCUUCGGGUGGUGGACAGUGGCAGACGGGUGAGUAACGCGUGGGAACGUGCCUUUCGGUUCGGGAUAACCCAGGGAAACUUGGGCUAAUACCGGAUACGCCCUUCGGGGGAAAGAUUCAUCGCCGAAAGAUCGGCCCGCGUCGGAUUAGCUAGUUGGUGGGGUAAUGGCCUACCAAGGCGACGAUCCGUAGCUGGUCUGAGAGGAUGACCAGCCACACUGGGACUGAGACACGGCCCAGACUCCUACGGGAGGCAGCAGUGGGGAAUAUUGGACAAUGGGCGCAAGCCUGAUCCAGCCAUGCCGCGUGGGUGAAGAAGGCCUUAGGGUUGUAAACCCCUUUCAGCGGGGAAGAUAAUGACGGUACCCGCAGAAGAAGUCCCGGCUAACUCCGUGCCAGCAGCCGCGGUA
Molecule: ribosomal RNA, 478 nt
Filed under: uncultured Pseudomonadota bacterium
Lineage: Bacteria; Pseudomonadati; Pseudomonadota
Description: bacterial SSU rRNA
Rfam family: Bacterial small subunit ribosomal RNA
Source: RNAcentral